AUCAUUACAGAGUUCAUGCCCGAAAGGGUAGACCUCCCACCCUUGUGUAUUAAUACUUUGUUGCUUUGGCGAGCUGCCUUCGGGCCUUGUAUGCUCGCCAGAGAAUACCAAAACUCUUUUUAUUAAUGUCGUCUGAGUACUAUAUAAUAGUUAAAACUUUCAACAACGGAUCUCUUGGUUCUGGCAUCGAUGAAGAACGCAGCGAAAUGCGAUAAGUAAUGUGAAUUGCAGAAUUCAGUGAAUCAUCGAAUCUUUGAACGCACAUUGCGCCCCUUGGUAUUCCGGGGGGCAUGCCUGUUCGAGCGUCAUUUCAACCCUCAAGCUUAGCUUGGUAUUGAGUCUAUGUCAGUAAUGGCAGGCUCUAAAAUCAGUGGCGGCGCCGCUGGGUCCUGAACGUAGUAAUAUCUCUCGUUACAGGUUCUCGGUGUGCUUCUGCCAAAACCCAAAUUUUUCUAUGGUUGACC
This 464-nucleotide ribosomal RNA is filed under the name uncultured fungus. RNAcentral describes it as "eukaryotic LSU rRNA". The stretch from base 155 to 308 matches the Rfam family "5.8S ribosomal RNA". Lineage: Eukaryota; Fungi. The record is from RNAcentral.